ACCUACAUCUGCAUAUACUUGUGAAGACUGAUACUGUGGCAUAUACUGUGUUGCCAUGUCGCCAGCUCCAGUCACUGGAGCAGCAGCCAGCGAACAAGAAAACCCAACAAGGAAACGGCGUAGUACACGUUAGCAGCUUUAAUUGGAGAACAGUUUCGCUUUUUUUUUUUCCUCAAAGCUGGUAAGAGGAAAAGAUCCUUUGACCGAGUCACGUGACCGCUAUCACAUGACCUACAGUGAACCGGGAAAGACCGGGAGAGGAAACAGCGCAGAGUGUAACCUGGGGUGCUACUGAAACAAAACACUUCAAAGGCUGCUUCAGCUGCUUUCCUGACUGCACCGCGUUCUGCCUUAAAAGCCAAAAUAAACCCUAAUCACAAGAACCUGGUGGACAGGCACGCGAUGGAAAACCAUCCUCUUCUGUGUUUACCGUUUGACUAACCCAGCAUGCUGCUGUCUUUCACACAGAAAGACUGGGGUAAAAUGAAUUCCAAAGCUUUGAUCC
Molecule: long non-coding RNA, 505 nt
Filed under: Mus pahari (shrew mouse)
Lineage: Eukaryota; Metazoa; Chordata; Mammalia; Rodentia; Muridae
Description: predicted gene 16549 (MGP_PahariEiJ_G0003927.1)
Source: RNAcentral